GAGGCGCCGCCCUCCGGGGAAGAGAGCCGGGAAAGUCUUUGGCGGCCCGGAAGCCCCUUCGCUCCGCCUUGGAGGCCUCUCUGCGCCCCAGGCCGGGAGCCCUCUGCGCGGGGCGGGGCAGCGCCACCUCGGGAGUCCCCCUUCCCGGGCAUCUGGACGGGGUGCCUCGGGGGUGGGAUUGCAGCCCCGUGGCUCCAGCAGGCGGGCGGGCAGAGGGUGCUGAAGGACGCGCAGCGCCAGCCCCUCUUUUCGUUGUUAAAAAGUGUGGCGCUCGCCCUGGCCACUUAGUGGUGAGUACCGACACCUAUGAUUUAUCCAGGGGGAAAAGCACUGGUGAGGAUGAAGCCAAGUGAUAGAUAUGUUUUGGCAAAAAGCAGAUCUAGACUUUUGUAACAGAGCUCUGCUGGUAGGUAAGUGGAUGUUCUGCCUCCCUCGGUUUGAUUCAGAGGUUUCCUGUGGCAGAGGCAUGAGAAUCCAACAUUAAAGUAACCUGGAAGACUGCAGAAAUAAUUCUAAGUCGGAUAAUGCGAAACCAGUUUUUAACUAAACAGAAAAGACAAAAGAAAACAACAUCUAGAGUUCAAUUAGUAUAAAAUCAAGGUCUGAAAUCAAACAGCCAUAUGUGAAAAAGUGUUAAAACAGAACAUGCCCCAUUAUAUAAUCAAGUGGUAUACAAAUUUUAUUUUAUUUUCUCCAAAGAAUUAUUCCAAACAACAAUAAUUCAUCCCCACUUUGCCAUUUAUGCAUCCAGAUUGUCUCCCACUUCUCUGACCCAUAUCCAUCCUGCCAUGCAAACUUAAAUUUGAGCCCUAGAACAGGAGGGAAAUGUACAAGCUGAGCAUGUGAAUGCAAAACUAGCCAAUUUGCAUCAGUAAUAUUGAUCUGCAUGACUUCUUUUGAGGCCACGGUGUUAAUACUGUAAGCUUAAUGUACGUAAAAUAUUGCAGUUGUAUUUGGAAUACUGUAAAGAGAAGUUUACCUUAAGCAAGAGGCUCCAUGCUAGGUGAAAGCGGAAGGCUGGUGUUUUUUCUAUUUCAGUGAGCUAAACUACCUGAUGACACAUCGCUGCAGUUCUCACAUAUAAGAGAGGAAACCUGAGAAGUCAGAGAUGGCCAGUAGUAGCAGCAGCCGAGAAGCUCUGCAAUGAUGAACAUUGCAUCUCUGGCAUCAGAGAGAGGAAAGUUUACUGAAGUGCAUAAAGGACUGAAUCACAUUACAUGGUUGUAGUGUUACUUUAUUACUUUAGUUACAUAUAAACAUUACAUGAACAGUUGUAAGAUUAUUCUGCAGUAAAGCUUUGAAACUAA
This is a non-coding RNA of Podarcis lilfordi (Lilford's wall lizard), 1307 nucleotides long. Lineage: Eukaryota; Metazoa; Chordata; Lepidosauria; Squamata; Lacertidae. The record is from the annotation of a GenBank genome assembly.